RNAcentral lists this long non-coding RNA (391 nucleotides) under Zea mays. RNAcentral describes it as "long non-coding RNA (ZMAY_LNC002431)". Lineage: Eukaryota; Viridiplantae; Streptophyta; Magnoliopsida; Poales; Poaceae. The record is from RNAcentral.
ACAGUCGGGGAAAGCGCCAUAUGACUGGUCAAUAGAGAGGUUGUUCACGGCGCCGCACCGCGACGUCACAAGCACGUUCUACACAAUAGACCAUGGUAGCGUUAGAGCGGCCAACGCAGCAAGAUUCACUGACCGAAGGAGAGAUUGGAACAAGCAUCAUGCAGGCAUACAAACCUUUGAAGCGUUCUAGCCACGAUGAGGGGGGAAAUCGGCUGUGAUGGUCACCAAGCCGAGCAGAUGGCACACAGCAUAGGAGCAAAUCAGGUUUGGGGUUUUUGGGAGGGAGGUUACCCAGGCUGAACACUACCACUCCACUCAUACGAUGACCACGAGUUAGAGCUCAAGGGCAGGGGAAAGACUUCACACAACCAAGCCCUAGUGCAACUGAUCA